Non-coding RNA from Drosophila melanogaster (fruit fly), 289 nucleotides. NCBI's taxonomy places the organism in Eukaryota, Metazoa, Arthropoda, Insecta, Diptera, Drosophilidae. The record is from Ensembl.
AGUUUCGCUUAGACACACGCCAAUGCUAAUUGUCCCGCGUUGUGAGCACAGCCCAACAAUCGGAGUAAAGAUACCGAAACACCCGCGACACACAAUUACCAAUCCGCACUAGAACGAACACAAAUAGAAUAAUAUUAUAAUAUUAUAAUAGCCCAUCUGACUGAACUGAUCAGAUCUGAUCUCCGAUCACUUCACUCCAGUUAUCACUGGCAUUGCCACCACACACACACACGCAGUAUUAUGGAUGUUGCCAAAAUAGAACGUGAUCCGGUCCCAAAAAUGCGACUUC